Molecule: ribosomal RNA, 1426 nt
Filed under: metagenome
Description: bacterial LSU rRNA
Rfam family: Bacterial large subunit ribosomal RNA
Source: RNAcentral
CCGUCACCCGAUGGUGAGGUUGAAAUGGGGAGGACGCCGGGAAGUGGAGGGUCGGGGUGAUAGACGCCCCCGUCCCGCAAGGGCGACAGCAUUCGAUCUGGAAGCCCUCCUUCACCCGGCCACGAAAAGCCCCCCAUGGACGAUCCAUCGGCCCGUACCGCAAUCCGACACAGGUGUGUUAGGCGAGUAUCCGAAGGCAUUCGGGAGAACCCUCGUGAAGGAACUCGGCAAAAUGACCCCGUACCUUCGGUAUAAGGGGUGCUCGGGGCAACCCGAGCCGCAGUGAAUCGGCUCUAGCGACUGUUUAUCAAAAACACAGGACUCUGCCAACUCGCAAGAGGACGUAUAGAGUCUGACGCCUGCUCGGUGUCGGUAGGUUAAGGGAGCCGGUGAUCGCAAGAGAAGCUGGCGACCGAAGCCCCGAUAAACGGCGGCCGUAACUAUGACGGUCCUAAGGUAGCGAAGUUCCUUGUCGGGUAAGUUCCGACCUGCAUGAAUGGCGUAACGACUGGAGCGCUGUCUCCACGAGGGACCCGGUGAAAUUGUAGCCGUGGUGAAGAUGCCACGUACCCGCGGUCAGACGAAAAGACCCCGUGAACCUUUACUGCAGGUUGACACUGGUCGGUCGGCAUUUCUGUGUAGCAUAGGUGGGAGGCAGCGACCCGGCGGCGCCAGCCGCCGGCGAGCCAUCGGUGAAAUACCACCCUGAAAUGGCGCCCGCCCUCACCGAUCCGUGGCCCGGAUCGGGACCGUGUUCAUCGGGCAGUUUGACUGGGGCGGUCUCCUCCCAAAGCGUAACGGAAGAGUGCCAUGGUACCCUCGGCCCGGUCGGCAAUCGGGCAACACGAGCGCAAAAGUACAAGGGUGCCUGACUGCGAGAGCGAUCGCUCGAGCAGGGACAAAAGUCGGCUCUAGUGAUCCGGCGGUGCUGGAUGGGAAGGCCGUCGCUCAACAGAUAAAAGGUACUCCGGGGAUAACAGGCUGAUCUCCCCCGAGCGUCCACAGCGGCGGGGAGGUUUGGCACCUCGAUGUCGGCUCAUCGCAUCCUGGGGCUGGAGAAGGUCCCAAGGGUUUGGCUGUUCGCCAAUGAAAGCGGUACGCGAGCUGGGUUCAGACCGUCGUGAGACAGGUCGGUCCCUAUCUGCCGUGGGCGUAGGAAACUUGCGAAGGGUCUCCCCUAGUACGAGAGGAUUGGGGAGGACCGACCUCUGGUGUGCCGGCUGUCCCGCUCGGGGCAUCGCCGGGUAGCCAGGUCGGGAAAGGAUAAGCGCUGAAGGCAUCUAAGCGCGAAGCCCUCUUCAAGACGAGGUUUCCAUGACCCUCAGGGUCUGAAGGCUCCUGGAAGACGACCAGGUCGAUAGGCCGGGAGUGCACGGCGGGCGACCGUCGCAGCCGACCGGUCCUAACAGCCAAGCGGCUUGACCAC